AGAGUUGAUCCUGGCUCAGGACGAACGCUGGCGGCGUGCCUAAUACAUGCAAGUCGAACGCUUUUUCUUUCACCGGAGCUUGCUCCACCGAAAGAAAAAGAGUGGCGAACGGGUGAGUAACACGUGGGUAACCUGCCCAUCAGAAGGGGAUAACACUUGGAAACAGGUGCUAAUACCGUAUAACACUAUUUUCCGCAUGGAAGAAAGUUGAAAGGCGCUUUUGCGUCACUGAUGGAUGGACCCGCGGUGCAUUAGCUAGUUGGUGAGGUAACGGCUCACCAAGGCAACGAUGCAUAGCCGACCUGAGAGGGUGAUCGGCCACACUGGGACUGAGACACGGCCCAGACUCCUACGGGAGGCAGCAGUAGGGAAUCUUCGGCAAUGGACGAAAGUCUGACCGAGCAACGCCGCGUGAGUGAAGAAGGUUUUCGGAUCGUAAAACUCUGUUGUUAGAGAAGAACAANGAUGAGAGUAAAAUGUUCAUCCCUUGACGGUAUCUAACCAGAAAGCCACGGCUAACUACGUGCCAGCAGCCGCGGUAAUACGUAGGUGGCAAGCGUUGUCCGGAUUUAUUGGGCGUAAAGCGAGCGCAGGCGGUUUCUUAAGUCUGAUGUGAAAGCCCCCGGCUCAACCGGGGAGGGUCAUUGGAAACUGGGAGACUUGAGUGCAGAAGAGGAGAGUGGAAUUCCAUGUGUAGCGGUGAAAUGCGUAGAUAUAUGGAGGAACACCAGUGGCGAAGGCGGCUCUCUGGUCUGUAACUGACGCUGAGGCUCGAAAGCGUGGGGAGCGAACAGGAUAGAUUACCUGGUAGUC
RNAcentral lists this ribosomal RNA (813 nucleotides) under Enterococcus sp. TATAC-19. RNAcentral describes it as "bacterial SSU rRNA". It matches the Rfam family "Bacterial small subunit ribosomal RNA", at positions 8 to 795 of the family's 1533-position model. The record is from RNAcentral. Lineage: Bacteria; Bacillati; Bacillota; Bacilli; Lactobacillales; Enterococcaceae.